This is a non-coding RNA of Acephala macrosclerotiorum, 86 nucleotides long. Lineage: Eukaryota; Fungi; Ascomycota; Leotiomycetes; Helotiales; Mollisiaceae. The record is from the annotation of a GenBank genome assembly.
GAAGGCUUGGUGUAGUGGUAGCAUGUCUGAUUCCAGUGAACUUGCGGGUAUCCAGAUGGUCAUCGGUUCAAAUCCGAUAGUCUUCA